This 554-nucleotide ribosomal RNA is filed under the name uncultured bacterium. RNAcentral describes it as "bacterial SSU rRNA". It matches the Rfam family "Bacterial small subunit ribosomal RNA", at positions 78 to 625 of the family's 1533-position model. The record is from RNAcentral.
GCUUGCUCUCCGGGUGACGAGCGGCGGACGGGUGAGUAAUGUCUGGGAAACUGCCUGAUGGAGGGGGAUAACUACUGGAAACGGUAGCUAAUACCGCAUGACCUCGCAAGAGCAAAGUGGGGGACCUUCGGGCCUCACGCCAUCGGAUGUGCCCAGAUGGGAUUAGCUAGUAGGUGGGGUAAUGGCUCACCUAGGCGACGAUCCCUAGCUGGUCUGAGAGGAUGACCAGCCACACUGGAACUGAGACACGGUCCAGACUCCUACGGGAGGCAGCAGUGGGGAAUAUUGCACAAUGGGCGCAAGCCUGAUGCAGCCAUGCCGCGUGUGUGAAGAAGGCCUUAGGGUUGUAAAGCACUUUCAGCGAGGAGGAAGGCGUUGCAGUUAAUAGCUGCAGCGAUUGACGUUACUCGCAGAAGAAGCACCGGCUAACUCCGUGCCAGCAGCCGCGGUAAUACGGAGGGUGCAAGCGUUAAUCGGAAUUCUUGGGCGUAAAGCGCACGCAGGCGGUUUGUUAAGUCAGAUGUGAAAUCCCCGAGCUUAACUUGGGAACUGCA